Oreochromis niloticus (Nile tilapia) is the source of this 2612-nucleotide long non-coding RNA. RefSeq lists it as uncharacterized. The record is from RefSeq and is a predicted model, not a curated record. The transcript has 2 exons. NCBI's taxonomy places the organism in Eukaryota, Metazoa, Chordata, Actinopteri, Cichliformes, Cichlidae.
GAAGCGUUUGACCUGAUUGAAAUUCUGUCUUAAGAGAUGAACAAAAAUCGGCACCAUUAUCAGAGCAACAGAAAUGGUUGAGGUGCGGAGCAAUCCUACAGGAUGAUCUGAUGAUAUGUGAUGGGAAACCAAUACUACCAAAGUCUUUACACAAAACAGCAGCUCUUGUGACACAUAGAGUUACUCAUGUGUCAACAGGAGGGAGUAUAAUUAGUUAAAAACACACUUCUAUACAUUAAAUUUCGAAACUUUGGCAAAAGGAUUUAUAAGGACAUGCAUGAUCUGUCAAAAGCAUAAUACACAAGGUAACCUAAGACCAAAAAGAGGUCAUUUUCCUGCACCACCUCACUCAUUUCAUACUAUUCACAUGGAUUUCAUUGAGCUAAAUGAAAGCUAAGGUUCAAAAUACGCAUUAGUGAUUAUAGAUGUGUUCUCAAAAUGGCCAGAAAUUUAUCCUGUAAAAAAGGCAGAUGCAAUCUCUGUAGCAAAAUGCCUAUGCAACCAUUUUGUCCCAACAUAUGGCAUACCGUCCCUAAUAAGAUCAGACAAUGGAACACAUUUUGUAAAUGAUGUGAUUAGCAAGGUCUCCGAAGCAUUAGGAUUUAGUAUAAAAAAUCACUGUGCCUACCAUCCACAAAGUGCAGGGCUAGUGGAAAGAACAAAUGGCACUAUCAAGCAAAGAUUAAGGAAAUGCAUGGAAGAGACGGGGAGACCAUGGCCUGAAUGUAUAGGUCUAGUAAAAAUGUGGAUGAGAUUAACACAAGGUUCCCAAAAAUUGACGCCGUUUGAAAUAAUUCAUGGAAGACCUUUCCCCCUACCAAUACUGAGUGAACCAGUAAACAAAUCAGUUAGAGAGACCGCUCUAGCAGAGUGGAUGGCAAAGCUACUAGAAAAUAAAGACAUUGUGGUGAACAACAAAUUGCCGUGUGACUCUUCUCCAGUAUCUUGCAGGACCAUACCAAGUGCUUUUAACCAUGCCGACUGCAUGCAAGAUUUCUGAAAGACCAUCCUGGAUUCACCAAAGCCACUGUAAGAAAGUAAGUGAGAGCAUAGACUAACUAGACGCCGACGUCCCUGCCCUCUGGUGAUCCGGAAGGUGGAGGAAGGGCUGAUUGGGUAUAUCCCGCCCUUUGCUUCUUGCCUUUGGUCUACUUAUCAGAGGGGCCAGGUGCGCCAGGUCACCAUGAAGCUGCUCCUGAUCUCACUGACCCUGGCAGUACUGGCAGCAGGAUGCUUCCUACUAUUCAAUAUGGACCAAAAGCAUCACCAGAAGAAAGCUUGGACGCAUGAUAACUCACACCACUACACAAUGACAUUUCCAAUGGCACCUAUUGGGUGCAGGGAAUGGCCUGGCUAUGUGGACAGCGGGCCUAUUUCACUCUCCCCCAGAACUGGAUGGGUAUGUGUGCUCCAAUCUUCAUAUCUGAUCACAUGUUUAAGAUAACUACCGACAAUACAUCACCCAUAAGAGGGAAAAGAUCAGUUGACACUCCAGAUCUGAAACCACAUGACCCAAUAUGGGGCUCUGACGUCCCACAGGAAUUCAAGCUUUGGACUACAGGACAGAAAGUGCUGCACUCACUCUUUCCGUGGGUGGGCACAGGGAAAAAUGCGCUGAGGAUCGAGACAUUGAACUAUCGAUUUGGAUUGUUCCUGGAUACAUCAUGUCGAGUCAAUGACCAGCAAAACGAGGAGAUAGAUGCCCUGCGAAUAAUGGUCAUGCAACAUCAAGUGGCGCUUGAUAUUGUGCUGGCUGAAAAAGGAGGAUUAUGUGUACUUUUUAACACCACCUGUUGCACUUACAUACCUGACAACAUACAUUCUAGUAACAUGACGGGUGCAUUAAAAGUUUUAAAACGACUUCAGAAUGUGCAGUCAAAGGAAUAUGUAGACGGGGGUACAGAUUGGUUGAAAUGAUUGCUAAGUGGCUCGUGGACUGUUUUGCUGUAUAAAGGUCUAAUAUUCAUAGGACUCUUACUUGUAUUCUCCACAUGUAUUCUCCCUUGUCUCAGGAAGAUGAUUUCUAAAAUGAUUUCCACAUCAUUGACAGCUUAUGUUACUGUACCAAUGGAUGACAAAAAUGAUCUGAGUAACAGUGAAGAUAACUUUGAAGACGAAGAUGUUUAUGUGUAAGAAGAAAAUCUUAAAGACGACCUGUGAAGUUAGAUUGCAAUAUAAGUAACACAUAAUGAUGACAUGUUUGAAAAUGCUAGGAGCAAGAGAACAUGUUCUGAAAUAAAGUGUGAAACAUGUUUAAAUGAGCUAAAACAGGAGGGAAUGUUAAAGGAUUUUUAUAUGUAUUCUGCUUUAUUGUAGUUAAAAACCCCUAGUUGUUUAGCUUCAUUUAAAUCUCCUAUUUUACUGUGUUUCAUGACAAAGCUUGCAUGAGGAAAUACCACAGGUGCCUCCACCCUUGCUGAGUUUGCUGAGAUAAGCUUGACCAGUUACUAUUUUUAACAGUUUAAAUAUGUUUCAUGCUUGUCACCUUGUAAGGAAUUGUUUUACACACAAGGGGCGCCGACCUGACAUAUUUUAGGAAGGAGCAGUGUAUAAAUACAGAGGGAACUGAUGUCUCAGUGUGAGUCUCCACUGAGAUCACCCAUGUAUAUACA